AUAUAAUACAGCAUGUAAUCUUUUGCCACAAGGUAUUAUACCAUGUUUAAACUAAAAGACCUUUCUUUUCUUUUUUUUUUGUUGCAUAUAUUUAGAGACAUAUAAAAAUCGAUCUUAUUAUGGUGCACCGGAUUAUAUCUGUGAUAAAUGUGAUGCUAUAUUUUGGUACCAAGAGCGUAUCGAAAAAAGCAGCUCACAUGCCCAAAAAAGAAUUAUAUAUAAUUUGUGUUGCCAUGGUGAGAAAAUCUCAUUGCCAUGCUUUAGACCUAGACCAGAACUACUUAAUGAACUUAUUCGGUUUGAUGGAGGCCCACAAAGCAAUAAAUUUAUGCGUCAUAUAAGACAAUACAACUCUAUAUUUGCUUUUACCUCUAUGGGAGUUCAUAUUGAUCAAAGCAUUAACACUGGUGAUGGCCCAUAUGUCUUUCGUAUCAAUGGUGUUGUCCAUCAUCGUAUAGGAUCUUUAUUGCCUAAAGAGGGCGAGCCUCCUCAAUAUGCUCAACUUUAUAUCUAUGAUACUGAGAAUGAAAUAACCAAUAGACUAAAUAUAUUUGGUAAUGACGCAGCGUCGAGAGAUUUAGAUCCAGCUAUUGUAGCAAAUAUCAUAAAGAUGCUAGAUGCAUAUAAUCCUUUAGUAAAAGAAUUCAGAAUGGCAAGAGAUCGUUUAUUAUCACCAACUGCUCCGGAUAUCUCAAUCAGAUUAAUCGGAAGUUAUACAACUCAUGCGGACAGAUAUGGUUUACCUACUGCUUCUGAAUUAGCUGCUUUGGUGAUUGGCGAUGCUUCUAUUGGUGCAAUUGAAUUUGACAUCAUUGUUGAAUGUCAUAGCGGUGAAUUCAAACAGAUACAUCCUAUACAUCCAGCAUUGAUUGCAUUACAAUAUCCUCUUCUGUUUCCAUAUGGUGAGCCAAGUUACCAUUUGGGUAUCAAAUAUAAACAGAUCGAUGGUCAGCCUUUGACUAGUAGACAAGAGAUCACAAUGCUCGAAUAUUUUACCUAUUAUGCUCAUUACCGAAAAUAUGUCCCAAAUCCCUAUACUUGCUGUGGUCGAUUAUCUGAUCAAGCUUCUGUAAAUGCAUAUUCUUGCAUGGAAAGCGAACGCUUAACAUUUCAUUUUUUCCACCAAGCUGAAUUAAGAUCUGAAACAUAUCAAGGAAUUACUGAAGCAAUUAACAAAGGUGCAUCAAGAGGUAAAGAUGUUGGGAUAAAACGUACAUUACCCUCCAGUUUUAUUGGCUCCAAAAGAUAUCUGAUACAAAAUUACCAUGAUUGUAUGGCUAUAUGUCGUGUCUAUGGAGCUCCACAACUCUUUAUAACACAAACUUGCAAUAGCAAUUGGCUUGAGAUAAUAGAACGAAUCAAGUAUGAAUCAGGUCAAAAACCACAUGACCAAAAUGAUAUUAUUGUUCGAGUGUUCCAUCUCAAGUUACAUGAGCUAUUAAAUGAUCUCAAAGAUGGGAGUACAUUUGGACCUGCUCUAGCUGAUCAACCAGAUAAUAACGAUGGAGUAGAUGAAAUAGCUGAAUAUAUAAAAUCUCGCUAUCUAUCUGCUUGCAAGUCAUUUUGGAGGCUCUUUGGGUUUGAAAUACAUGGUAGAACACCUGCUGUUGAGUGGCUCCAUGUUCAUUUACCUGGUAUGAAUAUCAUUACAUGUCAUGAAGCUCAAAAUGUCCAAGCCAUAAUAAAUAACCCUGAUUACCAAGUGACCAUGCUUACACAAUGGUUCGUCACUAACCAACAAAACAUGGAAGCAAGAGACCUAACAUAUUGUGAAUUCCCUACAAAAUGGACAUGGCACCCUGAUAAAAAAAUAUGGGCCAAAAGAGGUGUAAAAACACCCAAGAUAGGCCGACUACGGUUUAUACAUCCUAGAACCGGAGAAGCAUUUUACUUACGUGUGUUGCUUAUGGUAGUUCGAGGUGCGACAUGUUAUGAAGAUAUUCGAACAUAUGAAAAUAUCACAUACCCAACAUUCCGUGAAGCAUGUAAAGCUCGAGGUUUAAUAGGAGAUGAUACUGAAUGGUUUAUUUUAUUCGAAGAAGCCAUUGUUUGGGCAACAUCAUCUCAAUUGAGGCAUCUAUUCAUGACAAUUGUUACCUAUUGUGGUGUUACUGAUAUACAACUACUAUUUGAUAAAUAUUGGAAAUAUAUGACUGAUGAUAUUCUCUAUAAACUCCGUAGGACAUUGCAGAACAGCUCAUAUAAUAUUCCUACUGAACAUCUUAUGGAAUUGCUCAUGCAAGAACUAGAUUCAAUGUUUGCAAAAAAUGGACUAUCUUUAGCUACUUAUAAUCUUUCUCCAUCAAUCACUUCUUCUACCAUCACUAGAAAUAGAUUAAUCAUAGAGGAACUAUCUUAUGAUAGAAAUACAUUACAAGAACAAGCAAACAAGAUGUAUCAAACUCUUAACAACGAACAACGAAGAAUAUUUGAUUCAAUCAUGAUGAAUAUUCAAAACAAUACAAAUUUUCUUUACUUUGUGUCAGGUAUAUCUGCACCUUAUAUUCAAUGCAUGAAGAUCUACACCUUUCUAAAUAUGUAAUUAAGUACAUAGAUACUAAUGUAUUUAUUUUCUUUUCCCAAGAUUUGGAGGAACUGGUAAAGCAUUUCUAUGGAAAAGCAUAAUCUACAAGCUACGGUCACAAACAAAAAUUACCUUACCUGUAGCUACAAGUGCAAUUGCUGCUUUGUUACUCGCUGGAGGUAGAACAGCAUAUUCAAGAUUUCAAAUUCCGAUAGAUAUCAAUGAAUCAAGCACCUGCAAUAUACGGCAAGAUGACAAUAACUCCUUUGAAAAAUAUCAAUGCAUCAUCAUUUCGAGCAAAAAUAUGUGCAAGAGUUACAAGACUAUCUGAAUUUAGACUUGAUAAUAACCCAGAUAAAAUACAGAGACUUGAUUUUAUUCUACUAGAUGAAGAGGGGAAAGCUAUUGAAGCUCAAGUGCCUGAGCGUCAAGUGGAUCGGUAUAAACCACUACUUAGAGAAGAGGAAGUAUACUUCAUUCAAUACUUCCAAAUAUUUCCAACCAAAAUGACUUAUCGAGCAGUUGAUCAUAUGUUCUUAAUCAGAUUCACGAAUUACACUGAGGUCCAUAAGACAUCGACAAUCUCUCCGAUGUUUCCAAAGAUUGCUUACUCCUUAGUUUCAUUCGACAUAUUGAAGACAAGAAUAGAUAACAUCAACGAUAUGUCAGAUGUCAUAGGUAGACUAACUACAGUUGACCAUACUACAACAGCCUAUGUUAAAGGAGUACAAAAACCAAAUCGAAAACUUUAUUUGACAGAUGGUAGGGAAAGUAUUGAAGCUAUGCUUUGGGGUCGACAAGCUACAGAUUUUCCCGCCGAACAAAUUAUUGAAGAAAGCAAAAGAACACCAAUAAUUAUUCUGUUGCUUGGAGUGACUUGCAAAUCACGUGAAGGGUAAUACAUACCAAGUUGAUGUUGUGAUAAAAACACUGAAACCUAAUCAACCAUGAUGGUACCUUGGCUGUACUUCAUGUCACAAUUGAGUGCUCCAAGAAGGUGAUGGCUAUAGAUGCCCAAAAUGUGCUGCAACUACUGCUGAACCAAUGUAAGCAUACAAAUCAUCCUAUACAAAAUAGUAAGUUCAAUAAUGUUACUAAGCUAACAAAUGACUUAUUUCUUUAUUAGGUACCGUAUCACAUUAGUAGCAAUUGACCCAGCUAAUUUCAAUGAGGAAGACCCAAAAAGCAUUGAAAUUGUUUUCUUUGGUACCAUUGGAGAAGAACUCACAGGUGUUCCAGCUUUAACACUUGCAGCGUCUUCGACAAUAACUCCAGGAGAAAUACCUCUAGAAAUUACACGAUUAUAUGGACACAAGUACACUCUAAAGAUUAAUGUCUCCUUUUCAUCCAUGCAACAAACAAACAUAUCAUUUCAAGUUAGAUCCAUAAUAAAUACAUGUGGUCCAAUUGUUCCUGUCCUACCUACAACAAGCAAAAUGCCAGGUACAUGCUAAAACAUAAAUAAUUUUUACAAACUUUCGCCUAUUGCACAAACUUGCAUCUCCAACUUGGAUGUUCCUAAAAGUAGCUUACCUACAUACAAGAAGUUUCAAUAUUUUAGCUUAAUUGCAUAGAUCUGUUAGUGACUAAAAUCUUUAUAGUUCCUUUAAAUAAACCAUCAUAGCUAUUACUUCUGUAACCUUACAAACCAUACCAAGGAAACAACGUUAAAAUAAAAUCUUAAUAUUACCUCUCAACUCCUAUAGUUUAGUAUUUUUUCAUUUUUCCAAUGUAUAGGGAAUACCUUAUUAUUACUCAGCUUACAUUUAUUGCUUUAAUUCCUAUAACUGCUGUCACUAUUUAUUCAUCUUGGUCACUGAGAUUUUACAAUCUAUUUACAGUAACAAGCAGUAAUUGAUUAUACAAUGUUUCAUAUAUCAGUUACAUUUUCUUUCCCUUUAUUCCACAUGAAUAUAUAUACUUUACUAAAUUUAAAAAAAACAUUGUAUACCUACAUACUAACUAACAUACUUUCAAUUACACAGGAACUACUUUGGCUCAAACACACAGCCCAACAUCAAUUGAUAUU
RNA transcript from Phragmites australis (common reed), 4553 nucleotides. RefSeq lists it as uncharacterized. The transcript has 7 exons. Lineage: Eukaryota; Viridiplantae; Streptophyta; Magnoliopsida; Poales; Poaceae. The record is from RefSeq and is a predicted model, not a curated record.